GGGGGUAUAGCUCAGUGGUAAAGCACGUGCACAAGGUCCUGGGUUUAAUCCCCAGUGCCUCCG
This 63-nucleotide transfer RNA is filed under the name Camelus bactrianus (Bactrian camel). It matches the Rfam family "tRNA". From Rfam's summary of the family: Transfer RNA (tRNA) molecules are approximately 80 nucleotides in length. Their secondary structure includes four short double-helical elements and three loops (D, anti-codon, and T loops). Lineage: Eukaryota; Metazoa; Chordata; Mammalia; Artiodactyla; Camelidae. The record is from Rfam by way of RNAcentral. RNAcentral also lists the same sequence under 2 other names.